Molecule: ribosomal RNA, 813 nt
Filed under: uncultured bacterium
Lineage: Bacteria
Description: bacterial SSU rRNA
Rfam family: Bacterial small subunit ribosomal RNA
Source: RNAcentral
AGAGUUUGAUCAUGGCUCAGAACGAACGCUGGCGGCGUGGAUAAGACAUGCAAGUCGAGCGAGAUUUUUUCGUUUGUAGCAAUACGAUGGAAAGUCUAGCGGCGAAACGGGUGCUUAACACGUGGGCAACCUGCCAUGAAGUGGGGGAUAGCUCGCCGAAAGGCGAAUUAAUACCGCAUGUGAUUAGAGAGGACAUCCUUUCGAAAUUAAAGUCGGGGCAACCUGACGCUUCUUGUGGGGCCCGCGGCCUAUCAGCUAGUUGGUGAGGUAACGGCUCACCAAGGCUUUGACGGGUAGCUGGUCUGAGAGGACGACCAGCCACACUGGGACUGAGACACGGCCCAGACACCUACGGGUGGCAGCAGUCGAGAAUUUUUGACAAUGGGGGAAACCCUGAUCGAGCGACGCCGCGUGGAGGAUGAAGGUCUUCGGAUUGUAAACUCCUGUCAUUGGGGAACAAGGUGCAUACGUUAACUGCGUGUGCAUUGAUAGUACCCGAAGAGGAAGAGACGGCUAACUCUGUGCCAGCAGCCGCGGUAAUACAGAGGUCUCAAGCGUUGUUCGGAUUCAUUGGGCGUAAAGGGUGCGUAGGCGGCGCGGUAAGUCGGGUGUGAAAUCUCGGAGCUUAACUCCGAAACUGCAUUCGAUACUGCCGUGCUUGAGGACUGGAGAGGAGACUGGAAUUUACGGUGUAGCGGUGAAAUGCGUAGAUAUCGUAAGGAAGACCAGUGGCGAAGGCGGGUCUCUGGACAGUUCCUGACGCUGAGGCACGAAGGCCAGGGGAGCAAACGGGAUUAGAUACCCCCGUAGUCC